This is an unclassified non-coding RNA of Vigna unguiculata (cowpea), 1879 nucleotides long. Lineage: Eukaryota; Viridiplantae; Streptophyta; Magnoliopsida; Fabales; Fabaceae. The record is from RefSeq and is a predicted model, not a curated record.
UAGACAUUGGAAAGUGUUGGGGUUCUCUUAAAUUCACUUAUUUUUCUCUCUUCUCUCACAUCCCGCCCAAUACGGCUCCAGUUCUUGUUUCUUCAUUUACGGACACAGCUUUCAUUUUUUUCUCAGUGCUAUCUAUACGCAGGUUUAUUGUGUUGGGAUGGAAGUCUCGGGGCAGAAUAUUGUUAAGUGUGAUGAAGAGAAAGCAUUGAAGUGCUUGCUUGAUGCAUUUGGCUCUGUGUUUUCUCUUGAAGAGAUAGCUUCUGCGUAUUGCAAGGCGAGCCGGAAUGCUGACUUGGCUGGGGAAAUUUUGUUUGAAAUGCAGGGAAGCUCCUCAGGAUCGUCUUCAACCCUUGAUUCAUCCAAUGCAGAUGUCAGGACUGAAGGGUCUUCUGAAUCAUCAGAUGGGUAUUCCCUUGAGAAUUCAUUCCAAGAAAGGAAAACUUCAAGGCCCAAAGUUCGUCCAGUUUCGGCUGGUACUGUUGCAAGCAUUAUUGGCAAGAAUUAUGUUAGACCUGCUCCAUCAGCAAAUGGGCCUUCUCAGACGACGAAACCAACUAAGUUGGAUGCAAAGUCGCUGCCAAUGACCGGAAUCUGGCGUGAAAAAAAUAAGCCAGAUGUUUCGAGUUCGAAGCAUGAUCAGCUUCACCAGGACAUGGAAGAUUUCUUAUUUAAAAUGCUUGGAGAUGGCUUUCAGCUCGACAGAAAUAUGAUACGGCAAGUUCUUGAUACUUGCGGAUACGAUAUUCAGAAGAGCUUGGUGAAGCUACUAGAUCAAUCGAAUACGGCUUCGGGCAAAAGGAAUGCUGUUAUUGAUGAUUCAGCUGGUGGAUUCACAGAUAUGAAACCAAAAUCUGAAGUGCCUUCUUCUGAAAGAAAGUCUCAGGAUUUAAAUUAUCCCAGAGGUGGUAAGAGCAUAGGUUCAAUUAAAGGAACAGAAUUACAUCAACAACAAAAACAAAAACAUGACCUUCAGAAAGAAGUGUUGUCUUCUUUGUUCAAUUAUCAAGGGCAUUCUGAAGUAGAGAAGGCUCCUAAAAGAAUUGUGAAGGAUUUGAAUAUGAAAUCACUAUUCGGGCGUGUGGUUUUUGAACCUCCCAAAGACUUCCCGGAAGAACUCAACAUUGACAUGGUCUUCCCACGACCAGGAAACAUAGACGAUCCAGAGGACGAGGAAGAAUACAAGAAUGUGCGCAGAGCUGUGAAGGAAUACCGGGUGGCAAUGAAUGAAUAUUAUAAAGCAGCAGUUGAUGCAUUUGCAAAAGGGGAUCAAAUCAAAGCAGAAAAAUUGUUAGAACAGGUGAUGGCAGGGGCAGUUUUUUCUGAGCAAGGCUCACGAAGCUGAUGAAGAAUCUAACAAAAUCAUUCUUGAAACCAACAAUAAUGAAGCAGAAGAAAUGGUGCUUGACUUACGUGACCAUGGUUCAAAUGAGGCUGUAAGACUACUGAAGUGUCACCUUUCUUCCUUUUCUGGCAUUCCAUCAUUCGAGUACCUCAAGGUUAUGGUUGAUGCAAAUGAUAAAGAUAACCCUAAAGGGUCUCGCAGAAGACUACGGGUAUUAAAACUAUUAGAGCAGGAAUCUAUACCAUGGGUGGAAGGAGACACUACUGAAACAAUACUGAUCCGGUUGGCUAACAUAGAGCGUAAGAGUUUGAGUUUUGUAAAAACAUAGGAUCACUUGUGACUCGCUACAGUGUGCAGUUAAUUCAUUGGUGAUGAAACUUGGCAUUAGGGUCGUCUUUUGUGGAGGUGUGUUGCCAUAGUUUUCAUCAGAUUUUUGUAACAUUGUUUGCACUACAUGACAGUAGUAAGAUUCCGUGGUACCUCCAUAUUUUAUUCCCUUUUUGAUAUAUGAAAAUCACAUAUAUUCUAAUCUUAAAA